This 457-nucleotide ribosomal RNA is filed under the name uncultured Enterobacteriaceae bacterium. RNAcentral's name for it is "bacterial SSU rRNA". It matches the Rfam family "Bacterial small subunit ribosomal RNA", at positions 923 to 1382 of the family's 1533-position model. The record is from RNAcentral. Lineage: Bacteria; Pseudomonadati; Pseudomonadota; Gammaproteobacteria; Enterobacterales; Enterobacteriaceae.
GCACAAGCGGUGGAGCAUGUGGUUUAAUUCGAUGCAACGCGAAGAACCUUACCUGGUCUUGACAUCCACGGAAGUUUCAGAGAUGAGAAUGUGCCUUCGGGAACCGUGAGACAGGUGCUGCAUGGCUGUCGUCAGCUCGUGUUGUGAAAUGUUGGGUUAAGUCCCGCAACGAGCGCAACCCUUAUCCUUUGUUGCCAGCGGUCCGGCCGGGAACUCAAAGGAGACUGCCAGUGAUAAACUGGAGGAAGGUGGGAUGACGUCAAGUCAUCAUGGCCCUUACGACCAGGGCUACACACGUGCUACAAUGGCGCAUACAAAGAGAAGCGACCUCGCGAGAGCAAGCGGACCUCAUAAAGUGCGUCGUAGUCCGGAUUGGAGUCUGCAACUCGACUCCAUGAAGUCGGAAUCGCUAGUAAUCGUGGAUCAGAAUGCCACGGUGAAUACGUUCCCGGGCCUU